GGUCGAUAUUUAAAUUGUUAUUUAUAGAUGAAAUGUCACCUGGACAUGGGAGUCCAUGCAAUGCCGUUAGAUUUACUGGCGAAACCAGUAGAGCUAAUUUUAUUCAGAUUGCAUCAUAUAUAUGUCAAUCUCGAUAUGUAGAAAACAGGAUUGCCACUAAUAUCGUUAAAGUAUCCCAGUUAAAAGCCUGGAUAUUGCAUUUCGCAUUCCAGUAGGUUCAUGGUGGCCAUUUUGGAUUUAGGAUUUAUAUGUAAUAUUUCAUAGAACCCGGGUAUUCCUUCAUCCAAGGAAACAAAUAUUUAUGCAUUUCCUUUGGGUUCGAGUGUGAGCCAGAACCAUGAGAAUUAGGUGAGCUAUGUGAGCCAUAACUGGGUUUGAGCGAUGACACGGAUGUAACCAGCAGAACUGUAGGAGAACCAUGUGCAAGAGAUGUCUACAGGCUAGUGUGGAGACCAACUGUUGUUAGGUUGUCUGCAAAAGAUGUCAACAGCCAACCAGCCAAGACGUGCUAGUGUCUGGUCGUCACCAAGAUAUACACACAGUAUUCGUGAUGACAGUAAAUUUUAGACGAGUUAAUACUGAUAAAAACUGAACUGGUUUGAAAAGAUUCUUUUACUAAGGUUCAUAUCAGAGACAUUGACCGACUAGAAGUUAGUUGGCUCAAACUGGCAAACCAUGUACACCGGAUUACUUCUUUUUUCUUUUUUUUUUGUCGUUUGUUUUUGUUUUGUUUUGUUUUGGGGUUUUUGUAUUUGUUGUUUUUUGGGGGAGGAGGUAGUUUGAGGUUGGGGUAGUGUUGUGUUGUGUUGGGGUGAUAUCAUACAUUUUUUAUAUUCAUAUUUUAGUAUAUAAAUUUGUUAAAAUGUU
Long non-coding RNA from Gigantopelta aegis, 867 nucleotides. RefSeq lists it as uncharacterized. NCBI's taxonomy places the organism in Eukaryota, Metazoa, Mollusca, Gastropoda, Neomphalida, Peltospiridae. The transcript is spliced from 2 exons. The record is from RefSeq and is a predicted model, not a curated record.